This 201-nucleotide long non-coding RNA is filed under the name Glycine max (soybean). Its description in RNAcentral is "long non-coding RNA (GMAX_LNC003609)". The record is from RNAcentral. Lineage: Eukaryota; Viridiplantae; Streptophyta; Magnoliopsida; Fabales; Fabaceae.
GUAAACAUAAUUCUCAGCCAAAUUUGUUCAACCUCAAAGUUCCUUCUUUCAAAAAGCAUUGCAUUUCUUUGCUGCCAAAUGGCCCACACAAUUGCACUCCAACCCGUUUGCCACCAAUUACCCUGUAAACCAUGACCACAUUGCCAGAAAUGCUCCUGAGCCGACCUAGGUAGAGUUGAGUUGAUAUCGAAAAUUUCGAAC